Long non-coding RNA from Brassica oleracea var. oleracea, 274 nucleotides. RefSeq lists it as uncharacterized. The record is from RefSeq and is a predicted model, not a curated record. NCBI's taxonomy places the organism in Eukaryota, Viridiplantae, Streptophyta, Magnoliopsida, Brassicales, Brassicaceae. The transcript has 3 exons.
UAGGUGACAGUAUUGUUAUGGUUGGAAAGCUGACGUUCCCGGAUUUCUACAGCCACCACGACCACACAUUUACGAGUGUCACAUAGGGGUUUUGUGAGAAGAUUUCCCAGUGAACCAGAGAGAGUUAGAAAGAGAGUAAGAUAUCUCUGGAAAGCUCUUGUUUCGAGGAAUCUGUAUCAGUUGACGGUUUCUUGUUUAGAGUUUCAGAUCGCUAGAACAGUAUUUCAACCGCUAUAUUCAGAAUUUAUUUUCAACCUUAGGACAAAGGUGAGGA